AGCACAGAGCCCGAUGCAGGGCUCGAACCCACGAAUCGUGAGAUCAUGAUCUGGGCCGAAGUCGGACCCUUAACCAACUGAGCCACCCGGGUGCCCCUUCUUGAUCACUUUUUAAAUCUAGACAAUAGGCAGAACAAUAAAUCAAGCCCUGAUUUGUAGCUUUUGCCAGUUUCCAUGGUAUAAAUACUCCCAGCUCAUGGUCAGUUUGAGGACUCCCAACCUGACAUCCCAUUGAAGACAGAGCAGGGAAGAUUCACUCACAGUAGCACACCAUGUGUAGCAGCCACACCAUCUGGAUAUAAUUGAUGUAAAUAACCUCAAGAGCAUGGAUAAUAGCAAAAUAAUAAUAAAAUAAUGAGUUAAUUUUUAAUAAUGGCUAUGUUUAACAAUUGGUUCACAGAAUUCCUGAAAUUUUAACACUCUGCUCUUGCAACCUGCUGUGAGGCUUCUCCCAUACAUCAUGGCCUCAGUCCCAGUCCUGGGGAACUCCAAACUAGUAGGACUGGUGAACAAUUUCGUAGCGUAAAGUCAAAAGUUAGGCAAGAGAAUUUCCCAGAGGAUGGAAGCAGAAAUGGAAAAUAAAACUCAAUGAAAGGCACUUUGAAAGACUAGGUAAAAUCAGGAAGGAGACACUGGAGAGUUGUCUUUGAGGCUGUUGAAAUUGAUACAAACAGUUGGUGUGUAUGAGGAAAUCAAGACUGUGUGGCAUCACUUUUGUUAGCCCGACACUUGAGGGAGAGAUACUUAAGUGAGACGGUACCACGCUUAAAAUUAGGACAGUGGUGUUUGAGUCUUAGUAGUAAUACUUAAUCAGGCAUGGGACAACCUUAAACCAGUCAUUAACCAUUCUGAGCUUCAUUUUUGUUAUCUACAAAAUAAGAAAACUAGAGUAGAUCUUAACAAGGGAAAGGCAGUGGGGUCUUCAGGAGCCUUUGUUAAAAUAUUUAUCAUGUAAAAGUGAUAUCUUUUGGGGUUUUUUACCUACAAAAAUGGCACUUUCAUAUUGUUCAAACUAUAUAUGUGUUCAGGACUAUAUCCCCAAAGGUUCUGGUUCAAUAAAUUUCAGGUGUACUUUUUAAACGCUUCAUGGGUGAUUCAGAUGCACCAUCUGUUUGAGAACUACUGAACCUGAUAAUCUCACAGCUUCCUUCCAGUUCUAAAGACCUGUUUGUAUUACUCUCAUUUACUAUUUGCAGUAACCGCACGUUGGUAUGCUGCCACUAGGUGGUGAUCGUGUGCCACAGUCACAACAAGUUCUGCUACCCUGAAGUUCUCUCUGGUCAAGUCCACCAUGUUCACAAUGGCACAUCUCCAUGUAUUUUGACAUCCAUAAAAAUUGUCUUCUUUUAAAAAAACCAAAGAAGUAAUUCAUGAGCUCAUCUUUUGGCAAUACAACUCCAAAAUUAUGAACUUAAUAUCUUUUCUAGCUAACGCAUAGCUUCAGCACUUUCUCUCUUCUUUAUACAUACCUCUUCAGUUCCACCCAAAGCUCCAUGCGCUGGCUUGUGCUAUUUACACUCUCUGUGUGGCCUCAAACUCCCCCAACUCCUAGAACUUGUGUCACAGCUCACUCAUUUCUCACUCGGACCCUCUACAGGAUUACUCCCCAGUCAGUAAAAUCCUUUUACAUUUAUGAACGUAUUUCUACCUCUACCUUUCUUCCUCGUCCUUCUCCCUCUUCCAGUCCUCCUCCUCUGAGAAACCCCAAGGAAUGCUGAAAUGAAGGGAGAGCGAGAGAGAGAGAGAAUGAAUGAAUGAGUGAAUGAAAGAAAAGAAAAAAGAAAAGAGAAGAAAAGAAAAGGGAGGGGAGAAGAAGAAAGAAAGAAGGAAGGAAGGAAACAAGACCAAGUCCUAAUUCUCUCUGAAAUGCAGAGUUCAGUGUUUAUCUGAGUCAUACAGGCUUGCCCUCUGUCUCUCUUCAUGGCUCUCACCUUAUAACCCUACUUGACCCAUCCCAUCUGGUAUGUGAUAGCUCUCCUCGUGGGCAUGACUCUGUUGUCUUAGUCCAAAAGGAGCAUCUCUUCUCUGGCUCUUACCCACUCCUAGAACUUUCAGCAGACACUUGCUCAACUGACCCAAUGAAGAAUAAAUGGUGAGAAGAGCAUGGUAUGUCUGUUUGCUCGCCUGCUUUUCCCAAUCCCUUCAAAGCUGACACAUCUAAGGAAGUAUAGUUGUUUUCCAAGCUGAUAGCUUGGAAGCCAGACAUUAGUUCCAGCCUCAGUGCCAUUGCUCAAAGCACAUGUGGAAUGCUUCAUGGAUUUUCCUUGCGAUUUAUGGCAUAAUUACUCAGACAUCUUUAAUAGUACAUGUCUUUAAUGAUUCAGUGUCCUUGAAGUAAGUUUGCUGUUAUUUGUUGUUUUGUUUUCCAACUAAGCCGAAGUAAUGUAGACCUAAAUAAGGUGAAUAAAAGGAGACGUGAUCCUCUGGUCAGAAAUGAGGGGAAAUUAUGAGAUCAUGGGACUGGUUUUCUCAUCUGACUCUAACCCACAUCAGGAGGUGACUGUGGAAGAGAAAUCUGUAAAAUGCCUGGGCAGUGCCCUUUUGUCUGCUAAAGGGGCUAACCUGAAGGAAACAGCAAUUUCAGAGUAGAUCAGUCUUGCUGCUUUAUUCAUAUCUGUUUCUUUGCCUAAGUUAAUGGUUGCCCUCUAUGAGAACAAGCAAGUGGGAAUCCUUUUGACAUGCAAGGGAAGCAGAAAACUAAAAAAGAAUGAAAGUGUGAGUUCUGGAAUUAAGCCACAUGCAUUCAUCCCCUGCCUUUACCCCAUGCUCAAGGUGGAGCUCUGAGCAAGUCAUUGUACCUAAAACCAAGGAAUUGAUGAUGCCUUCCUCAUACUGCCCUUGUUAUAAUUAAAUGAUGUCAUCCACGUAAAGCACAGGGUGCCUAGCACAUAAUCACUGUUUCAACAAUACCUUCGAUGCAAAAAUGUCAUGAAGGAUGAAGAUUUUAUACUCACAGGUCCCUAGGAAAAAGAGGUGCGGCAUGGCAUGCAGGGGGGACCACAGUGGGAAGGACCAGGAUCAGUCAGGGGUAGAGGGAGCAAGGGGAAAAUGUGGGCAAGAGCCUUGUUGUGAUUUUCCCUAGAAAGGAAUGGGCAGGGCAGGAUAAGCAGGUUUAAGAUUGGCUAGUUUUCAUAAUUUUAGCCAGCUCUGGCUGCCCUAGUUGUCUGGUACCUGGUCCUGGGGUAAUUUGGUCAGGGCACUAGUGGCCCAGAGUGUGAGAGCAUUAUAGAGGAGGUGUUUGGGUAUACGGGCUCCGGAUUGGUUGGUUUGCCUAUGAAGAGUGUGUUCCCAGGCAAGUUGUUUGAGAUGUCUAAGAAUUAGCUAGCCCUGGGAAAUGUAAUCUCUCCUUGGGUCACAAGGCCCCAAGAUGUCAAAGCAUAAAAAGUAUGGAAUAAAAACAUAUGGUUAAUACAAGUACUCAUUAAAGUUUUUCAGUCAUCAUCAUCAUCAUCAUCAUCACCAUCACCAUCCUCUCUCAGUGUUCUCUGGUAGCAGAGCAAAUUGAUGGCUUCUAUGCAAGCAUUCUGGAACUUACUAGUGAUGGUUGAUACUAAUUUGAAUUUAGUAAGUGCAAACUUAAAAGUGGCAUCCUUUUUUGUUAAUGACCCGAACGUUAUUCGAGAGCUGUAUCUAGUUCUGAAUUUCAUAUUUUUGAAGAAAGUGGAGAAACCUGAGAGGAUUCUGAGAAGAAAUACUUCAGGUGGAAGAGAAAGGUGACAGAUGCUGUGAUUUGGUUUACAGACACGGCAUUGGGAAGUAGGGUGGCCAUCCACAAGUACUGCUUCCAUUCACAUAAAAAGGAGAUCACUCAGACAUUUCUCUGUAUUCGAUGAUCAUGGAACAAAAUGGAGCAGGUUAACUGUGAAGCAACAAAAUUCAGCUUCGACUGCAGGAAAAGCAAGUGAUUCCUGAUCCUAGGCACCUGUGGUGACAGCGAACGUGGGUUGGUCUGAGCGGUAGUAGUCUCAAGAAAGAAAUAGACACCUUUCAGCUUUGACAGAGAUUAUGCAUCUCAGACAAAUUGAAUACCUAGCCAGGUGACCUCUCGGUAUCUCUUUCUAAGGCUUAUCUGCCUCUGUUACCAUUUAUAUUUUCCUGAAUUCUCUCCAUUAAGUCCCAAAGAAAGCUUUACUUCUUCUCACUUCCUUUUCACAGAA
Herpailurus yagouaroundi (jaguarundi) is the source of this 4157-nucleotide long non-coding RNA. RefSeq lists it as uncharacterized. NCBI's taxonomy places the organism in Eukaryota, Metazoa, Chordata, Mammalia, Carnivora, Felidae. The transcript has 2 exons. The record is from RefSeq and is a predicted model, not a curated record.